This 597-nucleotide ribosomal RNA is filed under the name Aleochara moerens. Its description in RNAcentral is "partial 16S ribosomal RNA". It matches the Rfam family "Bacterial large subunit ribosomal RNA", at positions 1843 to 2712 of the family's 2925-position model. The record is from RNAcentral. Lineage: Eukaryota; Metazoa; Arthropoda; Insecta; Coleoptera; Staphylinidae.
UAAUUUUAAGUUUAACCUGCCCAAUGAAAAUUUAAAUGGCCGCAGUAUUUUGACUGUGCAAAGGUAGCAUAAUCAUUAGUUUCUUAAUUAGAAACUAGAAUGAAAGGUUGGACGAGAAAAUAACUGUCUCUUUAUAAUUUUUUUUGAAUUUUAUUUUUAAGUUAAAAAGCUUAAAUAAGUUUAAAAGACGAGAAGACCCUAUAGAGUUUUAUAUUUUUAAAAGUUGAUUUUUUAAUAUUGAAUAAUUUUAAUUUAAUUUAUAUAAAUAUUUAAUUGGGGUGAUUAAAAAAUUUGAAAAACUUUUUUUUUAUUUAAACAUAAAUUAAUGAAUAAUUGAUCCAUUAUUAGUGAUUAUAAGAUUAAAUUACCUUAGGGAUAACAGCGUAAUUUUUUUUAAGAGUUCUUAUCGAUAAAAAAGUUUGCGACCUCGAUGUUGGAUUAAAAUAAAUUUUUGGUGUAGAAGCUAAAAUAUUAGGUCUGUUCGACCUUUAAAAUUUUACAUGAUCUGAGUUUAAACCGGUGUGAGCCAGGUUGGUUUCUAUCUUUAAAAUAAUAAAAUAUUUUAGUACGAAAGGACCAAAUAUUUAUAAUAAUUAU